Molecule: long non-coding RNA, 110 nt
Organism: Myotis brandtii (Brandt's bat)
Lineage: Eukaryota; Metazoa; Chordata; Mammalia; Chiroptera; Vespertilionidae
Exons: 3
Source: RefSeq, a predicted model, not a curated record
GCUUGAACUUUAUAUAACUGGAACCAUGUUAUAUAUUCUUCUAUAGUUUGUUUUGUUCCAACAUUAUAUUCCUGGAAUAAUUCAAGUUAGACAACAAGGUGGUUGAAACA